GGUGUGACUGCGUACCUUUUGUAUAAUGGGUCAGCGACUUAUAUUCUGUAGCAAGGUUAACCGUAUAGGGGAGCCGAAGGGAAACCGAGUCUUAACUGGGCGUUAAGUUGCAGGGUAUAGACCCGAAACCCGGUGAUCUAGCCAUGGGCAGGUUGAAGGUUGGGUAACACUAACUGGAGGACCGAACCGACUAAUGUUGAAAAAUUAGCGGAUGACUUGUGGCUGGGGGUGAAAGGCCAAUCAAACCGGGAGAUAGCUGGUUCUCCCCGAAAGCUAUUUAGGUAGCGCCUCGUGAACUCAUCUUCGGGGGUAGAGCACUGUUUCGGCUAGGGGGCCAUCCCGGCUUACCAACCCGAUGCAAACUACGAAUACCGAAGAAUGUUAUCACGGGAGACACACGGCGGGUGCUAACGUCCGUCGUGAAGAGGGAAACAACCCAGACCGCCAGCUAAGGUCCCAAAGUCAUGGUUAAGUGGGAAACGAUGUGGGAAGGCACAGACAGCCAGGAUGUUGGCUUAGAAGCAGCCAUCAUUUAAAGAAAGCGUAAUAGCUCACUGGUCGAGUCGGCCUGCGCGGAAGAUGUAACGGGGCUAAACCAUGCACCGAAGCUGCGGCAGCGACACUAUGUGUUGUUGGGUAGGGGAGCGUUCUGUAAGCCGUUGAAGGUGGCCUGUGAGGG
Molecule: ribosomal RNA, 679 nt
Filed under: Enterobacter cloacae
Lineage: Bacteria; Pseudomonadati; Pseudomonadota; Gammaproteobacteria; Enterobacterales; Enterobacteriaceae
Description: bacterial LSU rRNA
Rfam family: Bacterial large subunit ribosomal RNA
Source: RNAcentral